Molecule: long non-coding RNA, 1211 nt
Filed under: Homo sapiens (human)
Lineage: Eukaryota; Metazoa; Chordata; Mammalia; Primates; Hominidae
Description: HSALNT0345063
Source: RNAcentral
GCCUUUCUGAAUGUUCACUUCCUCAACAGUAAAUGGAGGAGUUAGAUGACUCAUUCAUUCCAGAAAUAGUUUUGAGCAUUUGCUCUGCAUCAGACCCGGUGCCACGUACCAUGGGUGCAAAGGGGAGCAGCAUAGUAGAGACGGGGUUCCACCGUGUUAGCCAGGAUGGUCUCGAUUUCCUGACCUCGUCAUCCUCCCGCCUUGGCCUCCCAAAGUGCUGGGAUUACAGGCUUGAGCCACCGCGCCCCGCUCUUUCGUGUUCCAAAGGCUUUUUAAAUAAACUUCCACUCCUGUCCUGGAUUCUGCUUUAUGGCCCUCAGUCGAAUUCUUUCUUCUGAGGAGGCAAGGACUGAAGUUGCUUCUGACCAGUACAGGAGAAAACGAAUACAGCAGGGAUGACUUCCACCAGCUCCACUUUGCAGCUCUGAGGUGUAUUAAAAAUGACCUGGAAGAAGUCAUGCCACGGGCCAGACCUUAACAUUCCUUUCGGCUUACCCCAGGAUUUCAGACAAAGCUUCACUUUCCUAACCAGUCACAAAUCAGAGAAUUUUUGAUUCCACCUAUGACCUGUGAGCUCCUGCUUCAAGAUAUUCCACCUUUUUUAGGCCAAACCAAUGUAUAACCUCCAAGUGUCGAUUUACACUUUCGACUGUAACUUCUGCUUUCCUGAGAUUUACCCCUGCCUUUAAAAACCCUUGCUUGUAAUCCCUCAGGGAGGCCGUGUAUUUAUUAAUCAUGAGCUGCCCAAUUCUCCUUGCUUGGUGCCCUGCAAAUAAACACCCUCUUUUCUCCCACUGCAAAACCUCAGUGUGGAUGUUUGGCUUUACUUCACCCCCAGGAAAGCAGACCCAGGUUUGACUCAGCAACAACAUCUGUUUCUAUUUUUCUCUGUAUAAAUAUUAAAAACCAUAAGUACAUGCUAUCUCCAAUUCCAAUAUAAACCCAUAGGGCUCAUUCUGGCCUUCCCAUUUUCUUAUGUGUAAUUCAUUUCUCUGAAAAUGAGAAUUCGAGUACUCAGAUAUUUACUUACCUACUCAAUCCUAGAAUAGAAAUAAAAUAAUUCAACAUAAUACCUUCUUAAGUUCCUGGACUUAGUUACACAAAAGUGAGGAAUUACACAUGAAUUCUAAAAUGUGAUUUUAAAAAUCUUUCCUUUUCCUUCUUAUCACCCUUAGUAGCUCUCUACAGUAAUAUAAAUUUUUACCCACCUA